Molecule: long non-coding RNA, 345 nt
Organism: Eriocheir sinensis (Chinese mitten crab)
Lineage: Eukaryota; Metazoa; Arthropoda; Malacostraca; Decapoda; Varunidae
Exons: 2
Source: RefSeq, a predicted model, not a curated record
CAGGCCAGUACCCUCAACACCACAAAGUCCACCACAAUCUCCUCUAUAAUGUUGUGGUGGUGGUGGUGGUGGUGGUGCAGGCCAGUACCCUCAACACCACAAAGUCCACCACAAUCUCCUCUAUAAUGUUGUGGUGGAGGUGGUGGUGGUGGUGGUGGUGCAGGCCAGUACCCUCAACACCACAAAGUCCACCACAAUUUCCUCUAUAAUGUUGUGGAGGUGGUGGUGGUGGUGGUGCAGGCCAGUACCCUCAACACCACAAAGUCCACCACAAUCUCCUCUAUAAUGUUGUGGUGGUGGUGGUGGUGGUGGUGGUGCAGGCCAGUACCCUCAACACCACAAAGU